CGUACUAUGGGACGCAGCUGAUGCAGCAACGCCGCGUGAGUGAUGAAGGCCUUCGGGUUGUAAACGUCUCUUUUCUCCGGGACGAUAAUGACGGUACCCGACGAAUAAGCCCCGGCUAACUUCGUGCCAGCAGCCGCGGUAAUAAUAUACGCGGUAAUA
Molecule: ribosomal RNA, 159 nt
Filed under: uncultured bacterium
Lineage: Bacteria
Description: partial 16S ribosomal RNA
Rfam family: Bacterial small subunit ribosomal RNA
Source: RNAcentral